GAUGAACGCUGGCGGCGUGCCUAAUACAUGCAAGUCGAGCGAACAGACGAGGAGCUUGCUCCUCUGACGUUAGCGGCGGACGGGUGAGUAACACGUGGAUAACCUACCUAUAAGACUGGGAUAACUUCGGGAAACCGGAGCUAAUACCGGAUAAUAUUUUGAACCGCAUGGUUCAAUAGUGAAAGACGGUUUUGCUGUCACUUAUAGAUGGAUCCGCGCCGCAUUAGCUAGUUGGUAAGGUAACGGCUUACCAAGGCAACGAUGCAUAGCCGACCUGAGAGGGUGAUCGGCCACACUGGAACUGAGACACGGUCCAGACUCCUACGGGAGGCAGCAGUAGGGAAUCUUCCGCAAUGGGCGAAAGCUUGACGGAGCAACGCCGCGUGAGUGAUGAAGGUCUUCGGAUCGUAAAACUCUGUUAUUAGGGAAGAACAAAUGUGUAAGUAACUAUGCACAUCUUGACGGUACCUAAUCAGAAAGCCACGGCUAACUACGUG
This 497-nucleotide ribosomal RNA is filed under the name uncultured bacterium. Its description in RNAcentral is "partial 16S ribosomal RNA". It matches the Rfam family "Bacterial small subunit ribosomal RNA", at positions 28 to 507 of the family's 1533-position model. The record is from RNAcentral.